GGAGAGUUGUCCGAGUGGUCGAAGGUGCAGCACUCGAAAUGCUGUAAGCCGAAAGGCUUCUAGGGUUCGAAUCCCUAACUCUCCGCCA
RNAcentral lists this transfer RNA (88 nucleotides) under [Clostridium] leptum. Its description in RNAcentral is "tRNA-Ser". It matches the Rfam family "tRNA". From Rfam's summary of the family: Transfer RNA (tRNA) molecules are approximately 80 nucleotides in length. Their secondary structure includes four short double-helical elements and three loops (D, anti-codon, and T loops). RNAcentral also lists the same sequence under 9 other names. The record is from RNAcentral. Lineage: Bacteria; Bacillati; Bacillota; Clostridia; Eubacteriales; Oscillospiraceae.